RNAcentral lists this transfer RNA (76 nucleotides) under Holosporaceae bacterium. RNAcentral's name for it is "tRNA-Lys". It matches the Rfam family "tRNA". Rfam says of the family: Transfer RNA (tRNA) molecules are approximately 80 nucleotides in length. Lineage: Bacteria; Pseudomonadati; Pseudomonadota; Alphaproteobacteria; Holosporales; Holosporaceae. The record is from RNAcentral.
GGGCACUUAGCUCAGUUGGUAGAGCAGCUGACUCUUAAUCAGUAGGUCGUAGGUUCGAAUCCUACAGUGCCCACCA